Molecule: ribosomal RNA, 433 nt
Filed under: Glossodoris rufomarginata
Lineage: Eukaryota; Metazoa; Mollusca; Gastropoda; Nudibranchia; Chromodorididae
Description: eukaryotic LSU rRNA
Rfam family: Eukaryotic large subunit ribosomal RNA
Source: RNAcentral
AUAACUAAGCGGAGGAAAAGAAACUAACCAGGAUUCCCCCAGUAACGGCGAGUGAAGCGGGAAGAGCCCAGCACCGAAUCCCCCGGCCGCACGGCCGGCGGGAACUGUGGUGUGCGGGACGCCACCAGCCGCGCGGGCGGGCGCCGAAGUCCUCCUGAUCGAGGCCUCUCCCAGGGCGGGUGUAAGGCCUUUGCCGGUGCCGGCGCGCGCGGCCGCGAGCGUCCCAGGAGUCGGGUUGUUUGGGAAUGCAGCCCAAAGUGGGUGGUAAACUCCAUCUAAGGCUAAAUACUGGCGCGAGUCCGAUAGCGGACAAGUACCGUGAGGGAAGGUUGAAAAGAACUUUGAAAAGAUAGUUCAAGAGUACGUGAAACUGCCCGGAGGCAAACGGGCGGACCCGCAAAGUCGGCCGGCGGAAUUCGUCCGGCCGGGGGAC